GACAGAGGUGCAAACGUUGUUCGGAUUUACUGGGCGUAAAGCGUGUGUAGGCGGCUUUGUAUGUCGGAUGUGAAAGCCCACGGCUCAACCGUGGAAGUGCAUCCGAAACUGCAUAGCUUGAGUCCCGGAGAGGAAGGUGGAAUGCUUGGUGUAGAGGUGAAAUUCGUAGAUAUCAAGCAGAACACCUGCGGCGAAGGCGGCCUUCUGGACGGUGACUGACGCUGAGACGCGAAAGCGUGGGGAGCAAACAGG
Molecule: ribosomal RNA, 252 nt
Filed under: uncultured bacterium
Lineage: Bacteria
Description: partial 16S ribosomal RNA
Rfam family: Bacterial small subunit ribosomal RNA
Source: RNAcentral